UACGGAGGGGGCGAGCGUUAUUCGGAAUUAUUGGGCGUAAAGGGCGCGUAGGCGGCCCGGUAAGUCAAAGGUGAAAUCCCUCGGCUCAACUGAGGAACUGCCUUUGAAACUGUCGGGCUUGAGGCCGGGAGGGGGUAGCGGAAUUCCCAGUGUAGCGGUGAAAUGCGUAGAUAUUGGGAGGAACACCGGUGGCGAAGGCGGCUACCUGGACCGGUUCUGACGCUGAUGCGCGAAAGCAUGGGGAGCGAACGGG
RNAcentral lists this ribosomal RNA (253 nucleotides) under uncultured bacterium. RNAcentral describes it as "partial 16S ribosomal RNA". It matches the Rfam family "Bacterial small subunit ribosomal RNA", at positions 524 to 776 of the family's 1533-position model. The record is from RNAcentral.